AUCCUGUGUAACAGCACAACUUGCUUGAGCAGAUUAACCAUCUCUGAAAAUGGGAAAGGUAAGAUGAUCUGAAUAUGUUAAACAUUUGUAACAAAAGAAAUAUUGAAAUAAAUAGCCAGAAUUGUGUUUUCAUUUAUGAACCAUAAACCUGCUGAACAAUAUAUUGUUAUGACUUAAUAUGGCUGAACAAUGGGUUUAAAAAUCUAGGAGAGAAAGAUGAAAAAAAAAACAAUCAAUGCCGAACAAAAUCAAUGUCAAGUACAAAAUUGAGAUAGGUGAUGUUUUCCUAGAGCUAUUGCAUAGAUUAAUCAAACCAGAUAUGUUUAAAGCAAUUUCACUUGUUUCAAAUAAAUCUGAUGUUUUCACUGAUGUAUUUGAUUUAUUUUUGUAAUGUGACUCAUUGUUAUCUAUUACAAUUAAUAUGGUUUGUAAAUAAUAAUAAAUGAAAAAAUCUAAAAUGUUCAAAUUCAUAAUUCUAUUCUUAGAUUGUCUUCUACGAGGAUCGUAACUUUCAGGGUCGCUCUUAUGAGUGUAACUCUGAGUGUCCAGAUUUGUCCUCAAAUUUUCAUCGCUGCAAUUCCAUCCGAGUGGAAAAUGGAAACUGGAUCCUAUAUGAGCACCCCAACUAUAGAGGACACCAGUAUUAUCUUAGCAGGGGAGAAUAUCCUAAUUUUCAGCAAUGGAUGGGUUUCAAUGACUCUAUCAGAUCUUGUCGUAUUAGCCCACAGGUAAAUAUGUUUACCAGAGCAAUUAAGAAUUUCACAAAAGUAUUAAAGUUGCAGUCCUAAAAGCAUUAUUGUCCAGUUACCAAGAGUAAUGGUUGAAAUAAAAACAUAUAUAUAUUAAUUUUUUUUUUUUUUAUUGCAUGAGUUGUUUAAUGGAAUAUAUCUUAAAUUCACAAUUAAAUUGUCAGGCAACAGGUGCGUUAAUAGCAAUAAAAAUGAUACUCUCAGUCUAGAUUUUUUGCAUGAAUUAUGCAAUUAUUAUAAUAAUAUUUAUUAAGUAUUUUUUUUAAUCUUCUUAAAGCACCACGGUUCAUUCAGAGUAAAGGUCUACGAGAAUGCAGAUUUUCGAGGUCAGAUGAUGGAGUUCACUGAAGAUUGUCCUCAUGUCUAUGAGAGAUUCCGUCACCAUGACAUCCACUCCUGCCAUGUGUUUGAUGGUUACUGGAUGUUCUAUGAGGAACCAAAUUACAGGGGCCGCCAGUAUUACCUGAGACCAGGAGAAUACAGAAAAUAUACCGACUGGGGUGCCAUGAACCCAAGAAUUGGCUCAUUCAGGAGACUUCACAAUUUCUAAUAAGCUGUAUUAAUUAAUACAUCAGAAUCUAGUUUAGAAUACAAUAAAAUAUUCAAAUAAUUAAUA
Molecule: long non-coding RNA, 1365 nt
Filed under: Pelobates cultripes (western spadefoot toad)
Lineage: Eukaryota; Metazoa; Chordata; Amphibia; Anura; Pelobatidae
Source: RNAcentral